Molecule: ribosomal RNA, 427 nt
Filed under: uncultured bacterium
Lineage: Bacteria
Description: partial 16S ribosomal RNA
Rfam family: Bacterial small subunit ribosomal RNA
Source: RNAcentral
UGGGGAAUUUUGGACAAUGGGCGAAAGCCUGAUCCAGCAAUGCCGCGUGUGUGAAGAAGGCCUUCGGGUUGUAAAGCACUUUUGUCCGGAAAGAAAUCCUUGGCUCUAAUACAGUCGGGGGAUGACGGUACCGGAAGAAUAAGCACCGGCUAACUACGUGCCAGCAGCCGCGGUAAUAGCGUAGGGUGCAAGCGUUAAUCGGAAUUACUGGGCGUAAAGCGUGCGCAGGCGGUUUGCUAAGACCGAUGUGAAAUCCCCGGGCUCAACCUGGGAACUGCAUUGGUGACUGGCAGGCUAGAGUAUGGCAAGAGGGGGGUAGAAUUCCACGUGUAGCAGUGAAAUGCGUAGAGAUGUGGAGGAAUACCGAUGGCGAAGGCAGCCCCCUGGGCAAUACUGACGCUCAUGCACGAAAGCGUGGGGAGCAAAC